This 773-nucleotide long non-coding RNA is filed under the name Olea europaea subsp. europaea. The record is from RNAcentral. Lineage: Eukaryota; Viridiplantae; Streptophyta; Magnoliopsida; Lamiales; Oleaceae.
GGAAUCACCUACAAGGAGGGUAGAUGCAUUGCUUCAUUCAUACACUGUUUAUGAAGACAGUGUUUACGGUAAUUGUUACAAAUUUGAAAUUCUUUCAGAUUUAGUGCUUGACUCAACUCAACUGGUUCACUUGGCUGCAGACCUUGCUUGGAGUUCUUGAGAACCCUGGAUAUUUGCUUCAUUGUCUUAUGAUGGGAGGGUACAACUACUUUUACUUUAAAAAAAUAUAUAAUAGUAUAUUCUUGUAAUCACAUAAUAUUAGAUCUAGCAAUAAAAUGAAUGGAGAGUUGGAAAAGGAUUCUCGUAACCAACCCCAUAUUAUUGGAACAAUGCUUAGUUUGUUGAUGUAUUCUUGUACUUCCACAAUAUUUCAAAUGGAAAACUUGCAUCGUCGUAGAUGAUGUUUAUCAGACACUGUUGCUGUUACCGUGACAGGUUCUCAGCGUCCUGUAGUAUUCUUCAUCUAGGCUUUACAUUUGCGUGAACGAUAAUUUUAGUAGGUGAACAUGACAUUUCUUUUAGGCCAAAGCGUAGAUUAUUUUCGGUAUUGUUGUCUACCCUAUUGAAAGGAAGGGCUUAAUAAUGGUGAGAGAAUAUAAAAGCAGAGUCUAACUUAUCCAAGUACGCUAGUCCGUUUUUCAAUCUGUGCCUAGUUUUUCAUCCACCAUUUAUGCAAACACACAUUUUUUGAUCAAGUAGGUUAUUCCCUAUUUCAGAUACAGGCUACGGCUAGAAUCUAAUUCUUUUCCUCAUUUGACAUGAUAACUCAAGGA